UACGUAGGGACCGAGCGUUGUCCGGAUUUACUGGGCGUAAAGAGCGCGCAGGCGGUCGAUCAAGUCGAGUGUGAAAGCCCCCGGCUCAACUGGGGAGGGUCAUUCGAUACUGAUCGACUCGAAGGCAGGAGAGGGUAGUGGAAUUCCCGGUGUAGUGGUGAAAUGCGUAGAUAUCGGGAGGAACACCAGUGGCGAAGGCGACUACCUGGCCUGUUCUUGACGCUGAGGCGCGAAAGCUAGGGGAGCAAACGGG
Molecule: ribosomal RNA, 253 nt
Filed under: uncultured bacterium
Lineage: Bacteria
Description: partial 16S ribosomal RNA
Rfam family: Bacterial small subunit ribosomal RNA
Source: RNAcentral